RNAcentral lists this long non-coding RNA (8146 nucleotides) under Capsicum annuum. Its description in RNAcentral is "long non-coding RNA (CANN_LNC022336)". The record is from RNAcentral. Lineage: Eukaryota; Viridiplantae; Streptophyta; Magnoliopsida; Solanales; Solanaceae.
UACAAAAUAUGGUUUCUCAACUCACUCAAGAGCUUGCCGAACAGAGAGAGAGGAAGAAGAAGAUGGAGAAGGCAACGACAUCACAAUUCAAGAAGCUGCAGCAGCAGAUGAGCUAUUUCAUUCAGAUUACGGGGAAUAUUCCUCCGUGUCCUGGUGAUGCAGUUCAGGCUGCAAAGGGUCUGGGCCCACUGGAUGAUUUCAGCAUGGAUGAUGAUAUGGAAGACGAUGACGAAUUAGAUGAUACUGACUCUUAGGUUUUUGAUUUUUGUAUGUGUUGUACUUUGAAACUAUUGUUGUAGUAUUUUCGUAUUUUGUUGGACAUUUUGUAUGUCCUAUACACUUUUGAAAGCAUUUUUGUAUUGUUGUUGUUGGAUCUGCUGUAUUUGGGUUGAAAGCAUUUUUGUAUUGUUGUUGUUGCAUAUGCUGUAUUUGGGUUUAGAAUUUUAUUUUUUAAAAAAAUACCCAGAAAAACCGACCACAAAUGAUCAAUUUUGAAAAUAUUUUUUUGCAGAAAACCUACCACUUGUUAUAGGUUUUUUAAUAAAUUAAUUAAUUAAUUUAAUAAAAAACCUUUCACUUGUGGUCGGUUGUUUAAUAAAUUAAUUAAUUUAAUAAAAAACCUUCCACUUGUGGUCGGUUGUUUAUUAAAUUAAUUAAUUAUUUUAAUUAAAAACCUUCCACAUGUGGUAGAUUUUUUUUCUCUAAAAUUAUUUUUUCUAACUUUAAUAAAAUACUAAUGAAUUUUAAAUAUAUAUACAUAUUUUUAAAAAAACUGACCACUUGUGAUCGGUUUUGGAAAAACUACCACAACUUUUUCGACCACAGAUUUUGAUCACUUUUGUGGUCGGUUUUUUAUAAAAACCUUCCAUAAGUGAAAGAUUUUUGUGGUCGGUUUUAGCCUUUUUUUUAGUAUUGAGAGAGAGUCUAUUCUCACGUGCAUUUGUUUUUUCCCACUUAUUUUCAUUAGUUUCAUUUAGCCACACGACCUAGUACAUAUUGUUGAUCCAGAAUCAAUUAUAAUACAAGACAUUACAACUGUAAUGACAAGCAUAUGUAACAGAGGCGGAGUCAGGAUUUCAAAUAAGGGGUUCAAUAUUCAAAGAAAACUAAGUCGAAGGGGGGUUCAAUACCUACAAUAACCAUAUAAAAAAUAAUUUUAAUCAUGUAUAAAUAGUUUAUUUUUUCGUCGAAGGGCCCCUAAAGAGGGCUGGCUCCGCCUCUGAUAUGUAAUACAAAUGCCCUUUAAUUUGAAAUAUUACUAAUGUUAAUAUAUCGUGAAGUUUAUAUCUUGCGGUGUGAAAUUUUAUAUUUUUUCAAGAAUAAACUUCAAUGUAAUUUCAAAUAUAUAUAUUUUUUUUACCUUUGUCUCAUCUGAUAUCAGAAAAAUGAUUAUUGCAAUUUUAACAGAAGUUUCUCUGAUUCAUGAAUUCAGACUCAUAAAAAUCUGACUUUAUUUUUAUUGCUUCUUUAGAAAUUUAGUUUUGUGUCAAUGCAAAAUAAAUUUAGAUUUUUAUGAACAUGAAUCCAUGAACCAGAGAAGUUUAUGCUAAAACUGCAAUAAAUCAUUUUUCUGAAUAUUUUGGGGAGUCCUUUCAAAGUUAAAGAUUUAAAGAUAAUUUGUACUAAACUAAUAUGCAUAAAAUUGUAUUGACGUUUAAACCUAUCAAUGUCUUUUCUAUUUAAUAAGGUUAUAGUUUACUCAUCAGCAUUCGAAGCGAUGGAUUGUUCAGUGAUUUUUACUAUUUAUUUAUGCAAAAUUUUAUCAAAGAAACCAUAUUCAUAAAUAGUGUUUAUUUUGAUAUUUUGGAAUAGUCUAUUUAUUUAGUGAAUCCAUAUCUUGAGGUAGAUCUACUUCCUCAAGUUUAGUUCUUUUGGUACUGAUUUCUCCCAUAUCCAUUUUUAUAAAAUCCUUAUCCCUAUGCUGAAAAUUUCACAUCUCUUACUCAAUGACUAUGAAAAUUUCUAGGCUCUGAUACCAUUAAUAACAAGUAGAAAUAGUAAAAAUUAAAUGAUAAUACUUCUGUGUGAUAUUCGAUAAAUUAUACUGCUAAUUUAGCAGUAAAUAUUGCAGAAAGAAAUUAAAAGAAUGAAUCAAUAACAGAGUAUCUUAAACAAAACUUUUAAUAUAACUAAACUGUGGAGAUUCAAGGAAAAUAUCAUCCAUUUCAAGUAAAAAAUUAAACUUCAGCAUCUAAAAAAUAAGCUUUAAUCCAUAGUUUUUGAUCAACGAUAAAGCACCUAAAUUUAGACUUUUAAAUACUGAAAAAAUAUGAAGAUUCACAAAAAGAAUUAUAAAAUCCAGCUUAUCAAAAGUACAAGAAAAUGAUAAAAUUGUGACGGAAUAUUUGAGACGGAACAUUUCUGUCACAAAUUGUGAGAAAUUUGUAACUGAUUUUCAAUAUCAUUUUUGUGACAGAUAUAUUUUUGUCAUAAGUUAAAGUUGAUGAGAAAAAUAAUAACUUUCUGUUACAAAUCUGUGACUAAAUUUGUGACAGAUUGGGUAGUCCAUCACAAUAAAAUUAAAAUAAAAGAAAAUCACUAUAAUAAAAAAUUAUGACAGAUUUAUUCCGUAACAAUAAAAAUUAAAAAAAUUAACUAAUUUUAAAAAUAUUUUUGACGGAUUUCAUUUCGUAACAAAAGCAGAAUUUGCAUAUUUUUCAUUUUUCCUCAAUUUUUUUUUUACAUCUUUUCAUUUUCCCUCAAUUUUUUUUACAUUUUUUCAUUUUCUCUCAAAACCUAGAGAAUACCUUCACUUCACUCUCAUUAUGUGUAACAUUUUGCACCAUUAGUCAAGGUUGAUGUUCACGAUUUGGUCGGAUUUUACUGCUUGCGUAACAUUUUGUAUCAUUAGACAAGGUGGGUGUUCAAGAUUUGGUUGGAUUUUGAUGGAAACUUGUUAAAGGUCGGAUUUUGUUGUGUCUUCAUCUAACAUGUGAGUAUUGUACUUGAUUUUUAUUUUGUUUCAAUGUGAAUUUUGGGGGUGGUGAUUGGUGGUGCGAUUGUGAGUUUUUGGUUUGUGGUGCUUGGGGCUUUUGUAAUAUUGAUCAGUUCACUUUAGUAUCUUGUUCAGGUUUGCUCGUACCUAUCAUGAAUGGUUGUUUGUUUCAGCUGAGUGUAAGGUUGCACACUUUGAUCCUUGUAGGAAAGAGCACAAACGAACAUGUAAUAUAGGAAAAAUGAGUAUAUCUUUAGAUAUCCAAUCGAUCUUUUGAAGUUUUAGAAUUAGAGUGAGGCUUUAGUUAUUGCUGCAAUGAUGGAUAAGCUAUGGGUACUCAAACAAAGGGCAACAUUAAGAAUGCUUACUAUUUAGAGGAAAGAGAGCAGAUGACAAAAAGGGAGAGAAUAUUAUAAGUAAGCAAAAUGAUAAAUUCCAGAAUGAAUCUUUAUUUGCCUUGUAAUGGAUUCUUUUCCAUUUUCUUACGAAAGUAAUGGACCAAAUAAUUAUGAGACCGUUCAAGAACCAUAGCUUUACUGUUAGUAAUUUUAAACACAUUAUAAAAGCAUCCGCAUAUUUGGAGAAGGGUUAAAAAUAUACUGAUAUUUCUCUGUUGGCUGAUCUUAGUCGGAACAAUAAAAAAAAAUCUUAAAAUGCUUAUUCUGGAUGGGUUCUGCACAUCUAUGAGUUAAGGAUUAUAUUAUUUUAGGAUCUCUUCAAGUGUGUGGGGAUGGUAAAGAGCAUCUUUCGCCAAAAUUAUAUUCUAGAACUGUUCUUUUAUGACAGUUCAGCGAGCAAAUGCAAAGGUUGAUCUGAGUUGAUUUUCAUAGUACUAUGGGUUGCGAGCUUUGGUAUCUAAUUGUUACCCUUUAACUUGGUUUAGUGAGCAAAUACAAAGGUUGAUCCAAGUUGAUUUUCACAGUACAGAUCUUAGAUACUACUGCAUUAUCAAAAAGAAAAAGGAAAUUACAAAUCUUAGAUAUUAUUUGGGGAAAGGUUUGCAUACACACUAUCAUUCCUAGACAUCACUUGUGGAAUGUCACUAUAUUUGUUGUUUAAGGGGGGUAUACUAUCAUUCCUAGAAACCACUUGGUAGGAUAUACAUUGCUGACUUUAAAUAAAUUAUCGUUGAACCAAGGGUCUAUUAGCUAACUUGUUGAUGACAACAAUAUAAUCAGUAUAGUCCCACAGGUGGAGUCUAUGGAGUGAGGUGUGCACCUUACCCCUACCUUCGUGGGGUAGAGAAAACGUCUCCAUAAAUUUAGUUGAAUCACCCAACUAUCUGUCCUUUCAUAUAUCAGCCUUACUUAUGACUUUUCUUAGCUAUCUAAGAUUUCUUUAAUCUGGCUUUAAGGUGAAUCUCCUUUAUUGUGAGAUACUGCCUUAUAUAAACACUGCUCAAUUCAUACAAAGUGAAAAUUUACACUAGAAAUAGCUUUCAUCGGCCACUUUCAGACCUUUAUCUUUAGAAUUUAGAAUAGGUUCAAUCUUGUUAUUUGCUUUUCGAAGUGCCAAGAAACAUAUAUAGAAUAUCUUUAACAACCAUCUCAUGUUUAUAUUCUAGAUAAUAUUUGACAAAGCUGGAAGACAUAUUGGGCUUCUGAUGAGUAUAAGAACAAAUUUCAUAGUGCAACUCAAAAUUGAUGUAGUGAAACUAGUGGUCCGAACACUGGUCCAAGCAAGCAUACCGGUGGUUCCAAGUCAACAGUGGAUUAUACUAUAAAAUUGAUAAAUUUCGUACUUUAAUAGAUUAAUUUUUUGACUUUAUUUCUGAUUUUAAGGUUGAACUUUUUUUCAGGCAACCGAAAUGGGUCGUGAACCAAAUUCAUGAGAGAUAUUUAAGAAGUUGAAUCAAAAGAAGGAUGACAGUUUUUUGAUGCCAAGUGGAAGAGCAUUAAUGUAAGUUUGCUAAUAAGCUUCUCUUUCUUUAGAUCUUGAAAGCAUGAGAUCAAUAUAGCUCUUGCAAGUAGAGUGACAUUGUUGUUUGUAGCUUGAAGUAGUGAAGUCAUGUGGGGCCAAUUUUGAUUCACUACACUUGUUGAAAUCUUGUACUCUUAAAAAUCUAGUUUUUAUUGAAAUCUUGAAUUCUAGUGAAGUCGUGUGUGGCUUAUUUCAAUUCACUAGCAUUGUUGUUGACAUCUUGUUGUUCUUGUUAUGGUUUUCUUCUUAUUUUUUUUCAUUGAAAUCUUAAAGAUUUAGAGAGGAAUAUUUCUGAGAGUGAUUUAAGAAAGCCAUUGCUUUUAAAGCAUUUGGAACCUAACUGAGCAUUUGAAUAAUCCAUUAGAUUAAGGGGAUAGCCUAGGCUCCAAAAUAAUUUGUAACUACAUCAUCUUUUUAGGGUACCGUGUUGAGGAUUCUGAGUUAUUUCGUGGAUACUUCAUAGUUAGUGGUGGUGCUUGGUACAUCGAGUGAUCCUCAGGCUAGUGUUGGGAUUUGUUGUUGUGCUACAAAUCUCUUUAAUAGUUUUAGAGUAUAAGUUUCUCAAGUCGACCAGAGAUACUCUUUUGUUAUUUCCUACAUGGCAUGAGCCGGUGUAGGUAUUUUUAAAGGAUUGAUUGUACUACGUCUUUUGCAAUCAGAGAACUUAGUAGCAACUAGAUCUUUAUUUCUCUAGCUUGUUAAUCAUGUAAGGACUAAAGAGAGGGAAUGUACUAAAACAUAUGGAGGUGACAGUAAGUGUCCAUGUAAGUAGUUUACUGUUAGUGGUAUUCCAUCUAGGAGUAGACUUUUGCUUUAGAAAAGUAAAACAUCCAGUAGUAGAUUACUUUAUGAAAGCGGUUUUACCAAAGUUGUCAUUUAUUCUUCUUCUUCGGAUCUUCAGUGAUGGAUAAACGUGUUUUUGGGGAGAGUGCAAAUAGCAUAGGGUAUGAUUCCCACGGGACGAUAUACUUGGAGCAGUAAUCUACUACUGAAUGUUGCUUUAGGUGGCCAUUCAAAUUUUUUGACUACUUUACUUGGUACAUGGCCAACAGUACAGUAGACAGAUCUUAAAGUGCUAGAAUAUUACUGUUAAGAAGAAAACUUGGCACUUGGACCAACUAAUUUUCAUUGCAAAUGAGAUGAGUGAAUAAUGUAUUCGAGCACGCCCCUAAAUAGAACAAAAGCUUUCUCUAAUCCAGAUACAUAAAUAGGUUAAAUUCAGAUAGUUCAGAUCAUAUAUCUACAAGGAAUAGGGUGUGGAUUUAGAACACAGAAAAGCCAUUACGCGUGCGUCAGUCUUGGGGAUCAUUCAUCCUUCCCAAAAUCCCAACAAGUAGAGGUAGUUGGUGAAUUUACAUAAUUAAGUUAUUUCAUUUCACAUUCCACUUGAAAUUCAUCAUAUGUAAGAAAUUUCCUCAUCAGAUUUCCUGGGGAAAAGGGAGAUUUAAUAAAGCAAAAGACACAAAUGGCCACAAGAGAAAGACCCUUACUCUUGAGAUACAUGGUAUAGUUAUUAAGAUGCUGAUUUAGAGAAGUAAAACAUCCACUUUAUAAUAGCUCCAGCCCUUUUAACUAGGAAAAAUAAAUAGUUUUAGCAUUUUUAUUUUUAUACUGUUUUUGUUGGCUGAUUAUUUGUAUUUUUUAGGAUAAAAUGGAGGCUGUCAUAGCUACUGCUCUUUAUGGAUCAACAGAUGAUUCAUCAGAAGAUCAAGAACUCAAUAUAAAUUGCAUGUACUUUGAUAUUGUGAGUGGAGCAAAAAAAUGAUGUGUAUAUGAAUUGGACUCUCAAGCUUCAACCUUGUAUAAAGAUAUGACAUGCAAUUUGCCUGUAGUGUCCGAUCAUGUUGCCAAAGAGCGCAUCAAAAUACUUGAGAAAGAGGUGUCGUAUAUGAGAGAAAAUCAAUAGAAAAUUCUUCAAGAGCGUGUAGAGUUGGAGGUGCAACAACGAGUAGAGCAAGAGGUUUUCUGUUUGAGGCAGCAAAGUGAUGAUCGAUUCAAAUAUAUGGAGGAGCAAUGGUCUCGCAUGAUGAGCGAUAUGUCAUUAUCUUCUCACUCAUUUAGUAAUCCUACUCUCCCUAAUAGGGGCUCAUCUAAUGCUUAAGUGUUUAAUAUUUUGAGACUUUAGUUACUUGAAGUGUCGACUUGAACAUUGUCGCACUUUUUUUGGAUAGUUAUAUGCUUUAACUUUUAAACAUUGGUAGACUUUUGCUUAUUGACGUUGUGAUUUUGCAUGUUUUAAUUAGCUUCAGACGUUUUUUUAUUAUAAAUCUUCUAUUAUGUUUUUUUUAUAUAUAUAGUGUGAGAAAGAGCAUAAUAUUUCGUAAUUAUUAUUUAUUAAAGUUAAAAAUUUAAAUAAAAUUUGUGACAGAUUUAAUUUGUCACAGUCUAUCCUAAAUUUGUUACUAAUAUAGGUAAGAGAGUCAUAUUGUGACUAAAUUAGUCUGUCACAAAUUAUUUGUAACGAAAUAUAUUGUCACAAUUGUGGUGACUAGGUUUGAAACUUUGUUACGGAAAUUAUUCUGUCGCUAUUUUAUAACGGAAUAUUUUGUCAAAAAUCUGUUAUAAAUUUGUGACGAAAUUUAAGUCAAAUUUAAGGAUUUAUAUUGUGACGAACGAUCUGUCUCAGUUUCAUCACAAUAAUUUUGUGACGAAUUUAAUUUUCGUCACAAUGAUUUUAUGACCAAAGGUUUUGAGAUGCACAUUUUUCCAUCACAAAUUCAUCACAAUCAAUUAUUUAUGACAGAUUUGUGACUAAAAUCUCUGUCACAAUUUAGAUAAUUUCUUGUAGUUUAGUUUAAAUUCAUAUCCCACACUAACCCUCGUCAAAUUUGAGAUACAACUUUAAGACACCAAGAGAUUAAGCCAUAGACAUAAAAUAGAACAAAAAUUUAUGUAUUCUUUAAGAUUUUUUUAAAAAUUCUUCAUAUGGAUCGAAUUUCUCAUUUUCAAAAAUCCAUUUAUGGAGUUUUUGAUUUUAAACCCUUCAAACAGAAAUUUAUGAAAAAAUUUAGAGAUGAAAUUUAAAGGAAAUCUUAAAAUCAUGGAAUAUAAGUAUACCUUUAUAUAGAAAGGCAGAGAUGAAGCUUUUGGCGAAGCAGACAGAGUCGCAGAUAAAGACUUCACUAAAAGAACCCUACAUCACCGGAGAUGAAGACCAUCAGAGCCUUUUGCUAAAUUUUUUGCUUAAAUCACCCUCAAAAUCUGCUUUCUAGAAAAUUUCGCCUUCACCUUUGGGAAUUCAAUUUUGGAUAUGUAUAAAAUGUGCCCGCUCCUAGGCAGCUUAAAGAGAAA